Long non-coding RNA from Wasmannia auropunctata (little fire ant), 1339 nucleotides. RefSeq lists it as uncharacterized. The record is from RefSeq and is a predicted model, not a curated record. The transcript is spliced from 4 exons. Lineage: Eukaryota; Metazoa; Arthropoda; Insecta; Hymenoptera; Formicidae.
UGUCAAUGAACGAUACUGAUUCUUUUUUUAUUUUCAGCAACACCGAAUUUAUUCGCAUAUAAAUCUUACCAAUUUACCUCUUCUUUCAGGUACUUACUCGGUCGCCACUUCGUUUGACCUCCAACGAAGAAGGAUAAGCCGAAAGCAACUGCCACCGAUGAUCCUAGUUUGGCCCGGUGUUCUUUCUCGCAAGCUGCCUCGGAAGAUCUCACUCCGGAAAUGAAUGUGAUACGACCACAUGCAGGUACCUCUCGGAGCUGAUGUGGACAUCGAACUCGAGGGAUGAACGUUUUGUGGAUCUCAUCAAUCUUGGAAAUUAAACUGAAAUGUUGAUUCGGCCUGAUCGUUUGGUUGUUGGCCCUCUCCCAAAUCGGUAUUUUCAUUCACUUUUCUCACCUCAUGUGAGAUAAAUGCGUUCAACAGAUCCACCGCGCAUUGCGCCCUGCCAAAAAUGUCAUCUUCCAUGCCUCUCUCAUAAUUAAAGUUUCGAAGGCUUUCUGCAAAUUGUCCCAAGCUUCCUUGGCCGUUUUAGCAUUACAUGGACGUAACAUGUCGGCUUCAUGCUCAAGCAUAUUUUCGCUAACGCUCUAUUAUUUUUGUCUGGAUCACCACCCGUCGAAUCACUCACAAGCUCCCAGAGACCUUCAAGCAUGAGGCUCAUCUUUAUUGCAAACUUCCAUGAGGCAUAAUUUGAUUGCCCAUCUAAUUUUUCAAUAUUCGGCACUGCCGAAUAUUGAAGUAGAAAUUGUAAUUGGUAUUGCGCUAGCGGUAGUGGCCAUGUUCCACGAAUAUAACAAAAAAAAGAUAGAGCCGUUUAUACACGAAUUACGAUUUUCUUAAAGAAUAUUAUUAUCUUUUACUUUAUUUGCGUUCUUCUAGGCCCAUAACCUGUUAAGCAUAGAUAAUAAUGAUAGGCUGUUCUACUCCAUUAACAAAUAUGUGAAAGUACAGCUGCUAUUCCCGUGGGACUUGCAUCGCAAGCUAGUGUAAGAGAUAAUUCUGGAUUGAACGGCAUUAGGACACGGCUGUUGGCAAUUUCUUCUUUUAACUUUAUGAAGACUGCUUCACAGGCUGUCCAUUUGAAUGUUGUAUUUUUCCAAAGUAGACAUCGUAGAGGAUGUGUAAUAGUUGAUGCAUAUAUAUUGGAUAUAAAUCUUGUGUAGUGUUAUGUACCGCGACGCAACGACGCCGCACGUUAUCGAUGGUCCUCUUGAGUUCCUAAGCUGACCUUAUGUUUAGGUCGUAUCCUAACACUACCCUGCUAAAAAUGUUCGAUUAAAACCGAUUAAAACGUAAUCCGUUUUAAUCGAAUUUAAUCGGUUUUAAUCGGUUCAAUCCG